UGUGGGCUUCCCUGGUGGCGCAGUGGUUGAGAGUCCGCCUGCCGAUGCAGGGGACACGGGUUCGUACCCUGGUCCGGGAAGAUCCCACAUGCCGCAAAGUGGCUGGGCCCGUGAGCCAUGGCCGCUGAGCCUGAGCGUCCGGAGCCUGUGCUCCGCAACGGGAGAGGCCACAACAGUGAGAGGCCCGCGUACCGCAAAAAAAAACCAAAAACAGAUUUGAGCAGGGCCUUAUAGAGAUUGAAAAGCAAAGAAACGUUCCCCCUUUUUUUCUGCCAUUUUAUCUUAAAGGCCCACAGUUGCAUUGCCACUGCUGGUUGCUGUGUAAAAUUAGUGUUUCUCAGAAGUUUACCCACUUCCGUAUUUUUAAAAUACCUAGUAUGUACCAGACGUUGCCACAGGUCCUAAGGAAGAUGGGCCACACCUAGGUAAGAGGAAACCUAAAAGUGGUUAAAUUAUGAAGGAAAUCAGGAAGUAUCUCGCCCACAGUUCAGGCUGAUGGUACAUGUUUAACAGCUGGCAGGGGGAGGAGUGCCUAUGUAGACACAUACAUUUAUUAUGAAUUUUAACUAGUAUAAAGCAUGUGCAGUACACAGCCUACCAAAAAUGGUAAAACACAGUACUCUUUCUUGUAAAUGCCCUGGAGCCAUUUGAUUCUCCGAUGUUGCUAUUGCUUAUUUUUGCUGAACUCUUGUAUCCGUGGCCAACCUAUGGUUAAAAUUCAAUCAUAGUCUAUCAAAUUGAGUUGUCUCCCAACCCACUGUUUUUCCAAUAAAUUUAUUAUCAUUAAGUGUAAUAUGUGAUACAAACUUUGGUUGAUUUAAUCACAUCAAUGAGUGAGACAGAAAUGAACCAAAAAGAUAUAGAUCUUUAUUCAUCAGUGAUGUGAGCAAUUUCUUUGCUGUAUUGGAUCAUUUUUCCAGUACUGGACGAAUGUUUUGUGCCAGUCAUAAUAUAAUGGCUAAAAACUGGACACAAUUUUAAGUUUAGCUGCACUGUUAAUUUUCUCCAUUAUUAGGCUAGGGGUUGGGAAAUGUUUCUACAAAGGGCCAGAUACAUAUUUGCCGGACACCAAUGGUCUCUGGUACAUAGUCUUUGUUUUAUAUUUUAUCAACCUUUAAAAAUGUAAAAGCCAUUCUUCGCUUGAGCAAGGGCCUCACUUGGCCUUCAGUCUCUGAAUUGUAGCAUUUUCAGAGUUCCACAGUGUAACUAUUUCUCUAAUGGCCAACGUGGGAGUAUCUGAACCAACUUGAAAUACCUUGAAUGCAGAGUUAGGGAAAGUAUUUCCACCAUACAGGUACAAGAGAUGUGAGUAACCUCAAAAGCACGGGUUUUAGUAAAGUAAUCAUGAAGUGGUGAGUUUUGAGACCUUGUUUUUGAUAGAAUUGAUUUCACUCUAAGUUUAUAUAAUUCAAUUUUUUAUAACAUCUGUGUUUAACAGCUAGCUCGUGGAAUUCCUGAAUAUUUAACAAUCAGCUCUAACUAGCUCUAACUCCACACUGGUCUAACCUCUAAGUGGACCUGGGGGUGGGUAAGCCAGGCUUCUGGGAGGGUAGGCGAUGUUCUGUUUCUGGGUUAAACUUAGACACACGGGAAGGUGAAACACCCCUGCCCCCCCCCCAUGAGUCAAUGCCCUGUAUCAUCACCUCCCCAUGAGUGUAGGCGGGGCCUGCAAUGUGCUUCUAAUCAGUAGAAUUUGGUGAAAGGACUGUGAUGUCAUCCCUUGCCUUUGGGUCGCAUCGUAUGUAAAGGGAGUUGGAUGUCACGCCCAACACUCCCAGGACCCCAUGACAACUGGAGACAGACUCUCCCGCUGGCCUCUCGGGAGCAAACAGCCAUGUUGUGAACGGCCCCAGAGAAGGACGCUUGGCAGGGAACCAUGGAGCUUCUGGGACCUGAGGGCAACCAGCAGCCCAGAAGAAGCUGGGCCAGCACCUCAAUCGUGGCCACGUGGGACCCUGAGCAGAAGGCCAGCUGAGCAGUAUACCGGGACUGCUGCCCCACAGACACCAAGGGGCGGUGACAGAGGAUGAGCAGCGCAGAGCCUGGGACGCUGCAACCAUCAGGCUUCCGGCGUCAUCAUCAACCGAGGAAGCUGGAGCCCUGGGUCAAGCCACACCGAAAUUCCAUCUGUACCCAGAUCCCAGCAACACAGCACUGGGGCUUGGAUGAUGGACACUCAGCUCAGAGGAACUUAGACUCCAUGAGAUGCAAUCAGCAAAAGUGGGAAACAGACUCUGGGAAACUUUAAUGAACAAGGAUACGCACUGAAUCAUAGGAAAUGAUAUAAUGCCUGAGAUUGGCUUCAAAAUAAUACGAGAGGAUUUGGGCGGCUUAUAGAUGAAACAAGGCUGUGUAUACGGAUCCCUGCUGGAGCUGGGUUUUGGGUACAUGGAGUCUUUGAAAUCGGUGUGUAGCGUGUUUUACAUGGACAGCACAUCUCACUUUGGCUGGGUCCCACUUCCAGUGCUCAAGAGCUAUAAAUGAUAAAGCGGCUAUAAAUUAUCCCUCUGGGGGUUCUGCGUGUAUUCUGGGUCGUGAAGCCUUAGAAGGACCGUCGCUUCUGCCCAGCUGCAUCCUCAGGGUUGUAGCAAAGGCUCCCGCCGAGGGCACAACCCCAGUGGCUCAUCAGUCAGGGGCUGGUUUUGUCUGCAGUGGGGACCCUCCACUGGGAUGACACCACUGACUGGGCACUCGGAGGGCCUGACUUCAAGCCGCUGAUUUAAAAACCUGGCGUGACCUGUUCACCGGGUACAAAGGUGACUUAUGCAGCCCAUCGGAUGUCUCUCCAGAAGAGCGGGCCCCUGAGCGCUUAGAGGAUUGAGCCUGUCUGUGGUGGAAAUAACAGCACAAAAACCUCUGCGGAGAAGCAGAAACAGAGCUGCUGAAUUACUGCUUGGAAUGACCUCUGUUUCCAUUCCUGCACGCACGGAGCUUACAUUGGUCCAUAACACACCGCUCCCAGCCACGCAAGAAAAAAGCUAGACGAGCUGAAGAAUCAAAACUCGUCUUAGAUCUGCCAGAGCGGUGAGGUCACAGGGCAAACCGCCGCCCUAGGUUGUUUGGACAGACGGACGAAUGCAGAGUCACGAUGCACGAAGCCAGAGAACAGGAAACGGUGAGGGGAACCCAGGGCUGGGUGGACAGAUCACACACUCCUGGGGGCCCGUCCUGGGGGCCCUGACACUGCCAUGAGUUUUACCACUCGAAGCCCUGCCAGGUUUUCACAGUAAAGAUCAGGAAAAAACCAAAUCCCCUUGAGCUUCCUUCCAUCAGGGGAGGAAAACAGGCAUCGUCUCUGUAAGGCUCGCCUGGCUGAGCAGCUUCUGGGGGCUUCUGCGGAGCUGGCCCUCGGGCUAAGAGUCUUGCUUUCCUUAUUUCCAAGUCUAUUUUUACAAAACACUCUGCAUUUGUUGAGGUCACAGGAGUGACUCUCUCAGUGUCCUCCAACAGCCCUAAGCCCAUUUCACAGCAGAGGAAACUGAGGCCCAGUGGCCAAGUAACUUGUUCGAGGGCACAGAGCUGGUUAGCGGUGGGGCUGGCGCCCCUCCCCCAGCACCUUCGUUCCGCUUUGUCUUGACAUGGAGAAUCCUCCAGGCUCAGGCGAACGUCUGGAAGACGCAGCCCUGCCAGCGUCUCACGAGCGACCCCGAGCCAGGACCACCCCACUGGGUCACCCCCAAAUUCCUGACGCACGGACACUGUGAGAUGGUACACGUUGAUUGGUUUCAGCUGCUACGUUUUGGAACCGUUUGCUGUUACACAGCCACGGAUGAGUAACACACAGAACAUCUUUUUUUUUUCCCUGAGCGCCAACACCCGAGUGUUCUGUCAAGAGUAGUUUUCACCUCGGCUUUGUCUGAACAAGUUUCCUGUGGUGUCGAAGUCAGACAUGUCUUUUCCUGAAUUAGCGUUUAAGAAAUAUGAUCGGUUCUAAAUGACAGGGUGGCCAGGGGAGGCUGAAAAGAAAAACAAGCCCACCUGUUCCAUGUGAGCUGAGGACACAGGGGCCAUGUCUCUCUCAGGUUUUGGGGGCCUCAGAUGGGUGAGGAAGUUUCUUGGAGGAUCAUUCUGUCUGUCUGUCUCUAUCUUCUGUAGUGAUACAAAAAUGCGGUCCUUCUCGGGAGUGGUCAGAGGCCCAUCACUGUGUGAUGUAAGGCCCCAGGGACUCAGUGGGCAGACAGGAAGCAGCACUGGGGACGCAGAGAGGAUCCAGAAGGAUAUAGAAGCAGCAGGAAGUGACGUUCAGCAGACAGGAAGAGGAAGGGGACGCUGAAAGCACAGAGAACGCUCUGGGCUCAUCGCUCAUUUGCCAGAUGCACGUCGAGCUUCAGGCCCUCGAAGCUGUGAGUGUGGACCCGCCGCUUUCAGAUUCUGAGGCUUCCCAGCCCAUCUGCCCACCUUCAGGCCCAGCCAGGACCAGGUGGAGGGGUUUCCACCGGGCCCCUGUCUUGGGAUGGGGAACAGCAGGCCAAGCGAGGACCCCUUCGGCUCAGGGCAGGAGGGUGACCCCAUCGGCGCUUUUUGCGGGGGUGUCGUAUGGCUCUGCCCGGACCACGUUGGUGUGAUUCCCUGACUUUGGAGGAUGAAGGGAGGAGGGGGCAGACGCAGCCCAGCCACAUCCCGCCCCCAGAGCAGCACCGUCCAGAACUUUCUGCAGUUAUGGGAACUUUCUUCAUCUGCGCUGUUCAGUACAGCAGCCAUUGGCCACGUGGGUCUCCAGAUCCAGCUCUUGGAAUGUGGCUCGUGCCGCGUUUCACAAGGAAGGGUUUCAUUUUAUUUCAUUUUCGUUAGAGUAUAAGUGUAGAUAGCCAGAUGUGACUAGCGGCUUCUGAAUUGGACGAUAUGGCCCUUAAUCCUUGUUUUGGGUCUAAAAUCACAAACUCU
Long non-coding RNA from Lagenorhynchus albirostris (white-beaked dolphin), 4884 nucleotides. RefSeq lists it as uncharacterized. The transcript is spliced from 6 exons. The record is from RefSeq and is a predicted model, not a curated record. Lineage: Eukaryota; Metazoa; Chordata; Mammalia; Artiodactyla; Delphinidae.